CUUGAAACUAAUCGAACCCGU
RNAcentral lists this small RNA (21 nucleotides) under Arabidopsis thaliana (thale cress). RNAcentral describes it as "ATSL195670". The record is from RNAcentral. Lineage: Eukaryota; Viridiplantae; Streptophyta; Magnoliopsida; Brassicales; Brassicaceae.